This 253-nucleotide ribosomal RNA is filed under the name uncultured bacterium. Its description in RNAcentral is "partial 16S ribosomal RNA". It matches the Rfam family "Bacterial small subunit ribosomal RNA", at positions 524 to 776 of the family's 1533-position model. The record is from RNAcentral.
UACGUAGGGUGCAAGCGUUAAUCGGAAUUACUGGGCGUAAAGCGUGCGCAGGCGGUUAUAUAAGACAGAUGUGAAAUCCCCGGGCUCAACCUGGGAACUGCAUUUGUGACUGCAUGGCUAGAGUACGGUAGAGGGGGAUGGAAUUCCGCGUGUAGCAGUGAAAUGCGUAGAUAUGCGGAGGAACACCGAUGGCGAAGGCAAUCCCCUGGACCUGUACUGACGCUCAUGCACGAAAGCGUGGGGAGCAAACAGG